CCUACGGGUGGCAGCAGUGAGGAAUAUUGGUCAAUGGACGAGAGCCUGAACCAGCCAAGUAGCGUGAAGGAUGACUGCCCUAUGGGUUGUAAACUUCUUUUAUAUGGGAAUAAAAUGUUCCACGUGUGGGAUUUUGUAUGUACCAUAAGAAUAAGGAUCGGCUAAAUCCGUGCCAGCAGCCGCGGUAAUACGGAGGAUCCGAGCGUUAUCCGGAUUUAUUGGGUUUAAAGGGAGCGUAGGUGGAUUGUUAAGUCAGUUGUGAAAGUUUGCGGCUCAACCGUAAAAUUGCAGUUGAAACUGGCAGUCUUGAGUACAGUAGAGGUGGGCGGAAUUCGUGGUGUAGCGGUGAAAUGCUUAGAUAUCACGAAGAACUCCGAUUGCGAAGGCAGCUCACUGGACUGCAACUGACACUGAGGCUCGAAAGUGUGGGUAUCAAACAGGAUUAGAUACCCCUGUAGUC
This 460-nucleotide ribosomal RNA is filed under the name uncultured bacterium. RNAcentral's name for it is "partial 16S ribosomal RNA". It matches the Rfam family "Bacterial small subunit ribosomal RNA", at positions 338 to 795 of the family's 1533-position model. The record is from RNAcentral.